This 1662-nucleotide long non-coding RNA is filed under the name Anas zonorhyncha (Eastern spot-billed duck). RNAcentral describes it as "lncRNA (ENSAZOG00000014838.1)". Lineage: Eukaryota; Metazoa; Chordata; Aves; Anseriformes; Anatidae. The record is from RNAcentral.
CUUUUUUUCAGCUAUAUUUGAGUAGAAGUAACUCCUUUUUCUGCCACAGAGUUACUUCUAAAAAAUAUGUUAUUUAGAUGAGUGCUCAAUACACACCUUUGCUCCCUGAGCAAAAGCAGGAGCAAGACCACAGCUGUUGCAGGGCUGAAUUUCCUCCUUACCUGAAGACAAUGACUAACAUAUUGUGUUCUGCAGAGCACCUGGGAAGAAAACCAAACUGAUAAAUCCCUUUCCAAAGUAGUAGCAGUGAGAGCAAUGGUCAGGUCACUCAUCCCACCACCAGGAAGAUGCUCCCAGCCAGGCACAGUGCGUGUCCGAGGAGGGAGAGCUCUGUGGUUACAGCUACCACCCCAAACAACCAGAAGCUAAGUUAGUGGCAAGGCAGCAAUAAUUACUCAUACUGAACAGCCUAUUUAAGGGAAACGUAAUGAAAUCAUAAAGAGAUCAUUCUGCAAUGGGAUAUUUUUGUUAAACAGGCAGAUUAUUCAAGGCAAGUAAGCUGUGCUGAAGCCUAGAAGACGAGUUUGAAUGGGAAGAACCUGCCUAGCAAUUCAUUUUGUGCACACUUUAACCAUAGGAUGGCAGAACAAAGGCUCAUGUUUAUAGUGAGAGCAUAUUAUGAAGCCCUUAACAAAUGAUAUGUGGUUUAUAAAGCUGGCAUGAACCAGUUCUGUACCAAAAGUCACGGUCCAGCUCUUCCUUCCAUCUCUAAUUUCUUGUUCUCACCUUGUGCCAGUUUCUCCUCUGGAACAGCAAAUGGCCAUGUGGCUUCACGGUGAACUAAAUCAGAGUGCAAAUAAAUCCAGGAAAGAAGGCAACAACUCUCAUUGUUUCCCUGCUGUAGUUCAUGGUGGGGCCACGUAAAAGCCUGUGCUGACAGAUGGGAGAAGGAAGCUGGGAAGAAAUCCCAAGUGAAAUAGGAAGUUAUUUAAGUGAUAUAGAGAUUGUACACAAGCCGUACAGGACUGUAUUUAUGCUCUGGGAAAACAGUUACUUCUACAGGAUCUGCAGAGGAACUGGAGCAACCAGAAGUCACAGCUCAACCUUGAGCUCAGGCGUUUCACCAGCUGUGGAAUGGUUUUGGUUUAAGCUGGUGAUGACCACAACAAGUAGGAAAUUGGAUUCAAGAAUUUAAGGCGUUUGAUUUGAAAACAAACAAAAAAAAGUGCUGCAAGAGAAAAAAAGAAUAUCCUUGCUGUGUUUGCUGGAGCCAUAAACCAAGAUAUCAGGCUGUCCUUCAACCCACCAAAUAGCAGAAGAAAGUUGCAUGUCAUUCCCAUUGAGCCCAUCAAAUAUUUUAUGCCCUCUCAGCCCACCAUUCAUGAAAAGUGAAAGUUCUUCUCCUCUUUCAAGCAAAAGAUAAAUGAAUUGGAAAUUAUAUCACAGAUUUUUUAUGCCUUAUCAGGAAACUGCUGUUAUCCAGCAUAUGUAGGAGUGAAAGGAUGUGUGAUCCUGUCAUCUGUGACAUGAAAAGACUACUACAAACUGGAGAUGCUACAGAGUUUGAGAAAGCCACCACUGCAGCUGGGGGUGACAAGAGCAUCAAGAAGCAACAAGAAAAAUCAGAGGUGAUACCAACCGGGUCACUGCAGGUUUUUUAAAAUAGCAGCAGAUGUCUGCUCAGCUUUUAUCAGACUUUCCAAACCACCUGGAAGUGCCUAG